RNAcentral lists this ribosomal RNA (292 nucleotides) under uncultured bacterium. RNAcentral describes it as "partial 16S ribosomal RNA". It matches the Rfam family "Bacterial small subunit ribosomal RNA", at positions 505 to 796 of the family's 1533-position model. The record is from RNAcentral.
GUGUCAGCAGCCGCGGUAAGACAGAGGGUGCAAACGUUGUUCGGAAUUACUGGGCGUAAAGCGCGUGUAGGCUGCUCGGAAAGUCGGAUGUGAAAGCCCUGGGCUCAACCCAGGAAGAGCAUUCGAAACUUCCGAGCUUGAGUCUCGGAGAGGCAGGCGGAAUUCUCGGUGUAGAGGUGAAAUUCGUAGAUAUCGAGAGGAACACCGGUGGCGAAGGCGGCCUGCUGGACGAUGACUGACGCUGAGACGCGAAAGCGUGGGGAGCAAACAGGAUUAGAAACCCUGGUAGUCC